Molecule: ribosomal RNA, 732 nt
Filed under: Triticum aestivum (bread wheat)
Lineage: Eukaryota; Viridiplantae; Streptophyta; Magnoliopsida; Poales; Poaceae
Description: partial small subunit ribosomal RNA
Source: RNAcentral
AUGGAUUCAGCAUACAAUGAUGGCGGCGAGUUAGUCUUCCACAAUUUCUCCCUGGCAGCCAAGUCGGUCAGCUGUUCCAAGCUGUUCAUCACAGCAUAUCACGCUGUUCACACCGAGGGAUCUGAGAUGUUUGGGUUGGUGUGCUUAUUGGGCUUCUUCCUUCUCUCCUAUGCUAUCACAACUCAUCUCAACAUGGAUCACAAAGCUUGGGCCCAGACAAGGAUUAUCGGCAUGGCAACCCUAAUGGCGUCCGGAGUUUUCUUGCUCUGUCGUGGCAUGGUUAUCCCAAAAGAUCAUGCUUGGCACACUAUUGCGGUUCAAAUCAUCAUCAUUCUUAUAGUCUUUCUCGAGGCAUGGGUGCUUCUACUUGCCCAGAUAAAGGAGAAUGGGGACACUCAACACUUGCUCCGCGAUCUGCUCAUGAAAUCGGUCGAGACAUCCAUCAGCAUCUACCGAUUGAACGAUUUCAUGCAACAAAAGCGCAACCCGUGGAAUGCAGAGAAGAUACUUCAUCUGGUGGGGAGUGGCAUGUCCGUGUUGAUCGGAGCGUACCAGAUCGGCUGGAUCAUAUACAAGGUGGGCAUCAAAUAUCAGGUGAUCGAAUGGCUCAGAAAGCUCCCUCAAGUUUACACCGGGAAAGAAGAGCAAGCCACUGGAGCUGCCAUCGAGGACGACAGAGAUGCAGACGUGGCUGAGAACGUGGUGGCGAAAGGAGGUGUUGAGAUAGUGUGA